CACAACUGUCCACUAUAAAAAUGCCAACUAUGGAAGUAAUUUACAUUGCCAUACUGUUUUCAAGGUGAAUGAACUCUCCAUAUGACCCAAUAAGGAUCUAAAAUAAGCGCAAAUAGAAAGAAUAUCAUCCUAUGCCAACCUCCACUAGCUACGAUCACAAUCUCUUACCCAGACCUGCCUUGUGUACAAAGAGGUCAAAACAACGCCUAAUUAUCCAAUUUUCAGUCCCGUAAACCCCUCCAAAAAAACAAUCUUCUAGCUGAGAAUCCCAUUAUGUAUAGCUAAGACAUCAUUCACCAUUGCAGAAGGCACUACAGCAAUGCCAUACAAAGAAGGAAAUCCCACCCUUAGCAUUAGAUCUCCACAUCAACGAUCAUCUUAAAACCUGAUAAUAUUAUCAUUUCUCACCACAAAAGUCAAUCUAUCACGAAAAUUAACCACCCUUCUUGGAUAUACUGUCACAACCUCACCCCAUAAGAAUUACGACCCUCACCCGAGCACCAAUCCCAUAAGAACCAUUUAAACACACACGUGCGUGCGCGUGCGCGCACACACACACACUUGCCACUUCUUCAUGGAAACAUGAACAAAAACAAAUUUAAUUACCAUUAUUUGCUACUACUUGCUGAUAAUUAAAUAAGGGCAAAUUAAGAAAAUUCUUUACAAAAAUUGCUUUUUCAAUAACAUUAUGUAAAAUUUCUUAAUCUGUACGAAAAAAUCAAUCUAUAUAAAUUUGAUGGAGGGAGUAUUCGAUUUGGUACAAAACCCAAGCAAUCUUCUAAUAUUACACGUUUUAAAUGCUAGCCACCUUUGUAUUUAAUGCGAUAAAAUGUCUUUGGUCUUUAAUGGUUUUUUUUUUUUUUUUUUACUGCCAUAUGAGACAUUUAGUUUGAUAAAAAAUUCCACUUUAACUAAAAUAUCUACAGGAAAUACAGCCAACUUCUUAUUAUUUGUUUUGAAAUUGUGGUGUCGUAAUUAAUGAGGUAUCUAUUGACAUUUCGCUCUGAACAAGGGAUGUAGUUGGAAGAGAAUGGUACAAUUGUAAAAAGGUAAAAAGAGAAGCAGUAAAUAUCUGCUUCACAUAUCGGCUUUUCAAAUAGUGAGCAAAGAGACAUGUAUAAUUAUAGAUCGAAAAAUAUUGAUUCCUCCUAAGUGUUUCUUACUUAAAAAUCCUAUUAUAAGUUAUUAGUUGUUUUUAUCUCCUUGUAUUUAGAAAGAAGAUUAUUGUAAUUUUUUUAUAUUUGUACGUGGACGUAGCCAUAACUAGGUAAGUCACGUAAAUAAUUAUAUUCACUUUUAGUUGUAUUUUUCUAAAUUCACUUUAAUUGCAAGCCAAUCUUGACCCAUAUUUUUCCCAAGAUUGCUAUUAGAACGAGAUUUUGUGUAGGAUCAUUUACUAUUUACAUAUGUGGUACUACUUUCAGUAGUAGUAAAUAAUAGUGGCGAAC
This 1448-nucleotide long non-coding RNA is filed under the name Olea europaea subsp. europaea. The record is from RNAcentral. Lineage: Eukaryota; Viridiplantae; Streptophyta; Magnoliopsida; Lamiales; Oleaceae.